This 755-nucleotide ribosomal RNA is filed under the name uncultured cyanobacterium. Its description in RNAcentral is "bacterial SSU rRNA". It matches the Rfam family "Bacterial small subunit ribosomal RNA", at positions 28 to 829 of the family's 1533-position model. The record is from RNAcentral. Lineage: Bacteria; Bacillati; Cyanobacteriota.
GAUGAACGCUGGCGGUCUGCUUAACACAUGCAAGUCGAACGGUGUCUUCGGAAUAGUGGCGGACGGGUGAGUAACGCGUGAGAAUCUGCCUUCAGGUUGGGGACAACAGUUGGAAACGACUGCUAAUACCCAAUGUGCCGAGAGGUGAAAGCUUUAGUGCCUGAGGAUGAGCUCGCGUCUGAUUAGCUAGUUGGUGGGGUAAUGGCCUACCAAGGCGACGAUCAGUAGCUGGUCUGAGAGGAUGAUCAGCCACACUGGGACUGAGACACGGCCCAGACUCCUACGGGAGGCAGCAGUGGGGAAUUUUCCGCAAUGGGCGCAAGCCUGACGGAGCAAGACCGCGUGAGGGAGGAAGGCUCUUGGGUUGUAAACCUCUUUUAUCAGGGAAGAAGAUCUGACGGUACCUGAUGAAUCAGCAUCGGCUAACUCCGUGCCAGCAGCCGCGGUAAUACGGAGGAUGCAAGCGUUAUCCGGAUUUAUUGGGCGUAAAGCGUCCGCAGGUGGUUAUUCAAGUCUGCUGUUAAAGCGCGAGGCUUAACCUCGUACCGGCGGUGGAAACUGAAUGACUAGAGUAUGGUAGGGGUAGCGGGAAUUCCCAGUGUAGCGGUGAAAUGCGUAGAUAUUGGGAAGAACACCAGCGGCGAAAGCGCGCUACUGGGCCAUAACUGACACUCAUGGACGAAAGCUAGGGGAGCGAAAGGGAUUAGAUACCCCUGUAGUCCUAGCUGUAAACGAUGGGUACUAGGUGUUGACCG